ACGAACGCUGGCGGCGCGCCUAACACAUGCAAGUCGAACGGAGCUGAGAGAAGCUUGCUUUUCUUAGCUUAGUGGCGAACGGGUGAGUAACGCGUGAGUAACCUGCCCUGGAGUGGGGGACAACAGUUGGAAACGACUGCUAAUACCGCAUAAGCCCACGAUCCGGCAUCGGAUUGAGGGAAAAGGAUUUAUUCGCUUCAGGAUGGACUCGCGUCCAAUUAGCUAGUUGGUGAGGUAACGGCCCACCAAGGCGACGAUUGGUAGCCGGACUGAGAGGUUGAACGGCCACAUUGGGACUGAGACACGGCCCAGACUCCUACGGGAAGCAGCAGUGGGGGAUAUUGCACAAUGGGGGAAACCCUGAUGCAGCGACGCCGCGUGGAGGAAGAAGGUUUUCGGAUUGUAAACUCCUGUCGUUAGGGACGAUAAUGACGGUACCUAACAAGAAAGCACCGGCUAACUACGUG
This 467-nucleotide ribosomal RNA is filed under the name uncultured bacterium. RNAcentral describes it as "partial 16S ribosomal RNA". It matches the Rfam family "Bacterial small subunit ribosomal RNA", at positions 29 to 507 of the family's 1533-position model. The record is from RNAcentral.